UGGGGAAUUGUUCGCAAUGGGCGCAAGCCUGACGACGCAACGCCGCGUGGAGGAUGAAGAAUUUCGGUUCGUAAACUCCUUUCGAUCGGGACGAAUCGGUCACGGCCUAAUACGCCGUGGCAUUGACGGUACCGAGAGAAGAAGCCCCGGCUAACUCCGUGCCAGCAGCCGCGGUAAUACGGGGGGGGCAAGCGUUGUUCGGAAUUACUGGGCGUAAAGGGCGCGUAGGCGGCCUGCUAAGUCGGACGUGAAAUCCCUCGGCUCAACCGAGGAACUGCGUCCGAUACUGGUGGGCUUGAAUCCGGGAGAGGGAUGUGGAAUUCCAGGUGUAGCGGUGAAAUGCGUAGAUAUCUGGAGGAACACCGGUGGCGAAGGCGGCAUCCUGGACCGGUAUUGACGCUGAGGCGCGAAAGCUAGGGGAGCAAACGGGAUUAGAUACCCCUGUAGUCC
Molecule: ribosomal RNA, 450 nt
Filed under: uncultured bacterium
Lineage: Bacteria
Description: bacterial SSU rRNA
Rfam family: Bacterial small subunit ribosomal RNA
Source: RNAcentral